UACGAAGGGGGCUAGCGUUGUUCGGAAUUACUGGGCGUAAAGGGCGCGUAGGCGGUGUGUCAAGUCAGGCGUGAAAGCCCCGGGCUCAACCUGGGAACCGCGCUUGAAACUGUCUGGCUUGAGGCCGGGAGAGGGUAGCGGAAUUCCCAGUGUAGCGGUGAAAUGCGUAGAUAUUGGGAGGAACACCAGUGGCGAAGGCGGCUACCUGGACCGGUUCUGACGCUGAGGCGCGAAAGCGUGGGUAGCAAACAGG
This 253-nucleotide ribosomal RNA is filed under the name uncultured bacterium. RNAcentral's name for it is "partial 16S ribosomal RNA". It matches the Rfam family "Bacterial small subunit ribosomal RNA", at positions 524 to 776 of the family's 1533-position model. The record is from RNAcentral.